GGCCUGUUGAUUAUAAUUUCAGGUCUAACCUGCCCUAUGAAUAGUUAAAUGGCCGCGGUAUACUGACCGUGCAAAGGUAGCAUAAUCAUUAGUUUUUUAAUUGAAAGCUUGUAUGAAAGGUUUGAUGAGGAAAUUUCUGUCUCUGUGGAAAUUUAUUAGAAUUUUAUUUUUAAGUGAAAAAGCUUAAAUUAUCAUAGAAGACGAGAAGACCCUAUAGAGUUUAAUAUUUUGUUAAGUUUUGAAUUUAUAGGUUUUAAUUUUUUGGAAUUUAAUAUAGUAUUUUAUUGGGGUGAUGGGAAAAUUUAAUAAACUUUUCUUUAUAAAAACAUUUGUUUGUGGAUUUAUGAUCCUAGUAUUUAGAUUAUAAGAUAAAAUUACCUUAGGGAUAACAGCGUAAUCUUUUUUAGAGUUCUUAUCGAAAAGAGGGGUUGCGACCUCGAUGUUGGAUUAAAAUUUAUUGUUGGUGUAGAGGCUGGCACAUUAGGUCUGUUCGACCUUUAAAAUUUUACAUGAUCUGAGUUUAAACCGGCGUGAG
This 535-nucleotide ribosomal RNA is filed under the name Trigonopterus sp. 846 AR-2022a. RNAcentral describes it as "partial large subunit ribosomal RNA". It matches the Rfam family "Bacterial large subunit ribosomal RNA", at positions 1819 to 2625 of the family's 2925-position model. The record is from RNAcentral. Lineage: Eukaryota; Metazoa; Arthropoda; Insecta; Coleoptera; Curculionidae.